GCCAGUGUGGUGUACUGGUUUGGGUUUUAGAUGACAAAUCUGGAAACCAGGGUUCGAUUCCCAGCUCGGCCA
Phrynosoma platyrhinos (Desert horned lizard) is the source of this 72-nucleotide non-coding RNA. The record is from the annotation of a GenBank genome assembly. NCBI's taxonomy places the organism in Eukaryota, Metazoa, Chordata, Lepidosauria, Squamata, Phrynosomatidae.